AGUAGUUGGUAAUUGAAGGCUGCGCCCUAGUUUGUGUCCAAUCAGAGUGUAUCUGCCGUGGAAUGAAUAAAGCAGCAAUGCGUAAACAAGCGCUGGAUCCUCCUCCGCUCCUUUCCUAUCAUCUAUUCUGAAACCAGUUCCGUAUUCAGUGCUAGCCUACAUUAAUGUAACAUCGGCGCCCACACCAUACAGCGUAUAUAGAUAUAAUUGUCGGAUAAGAUCACACCAUCUCGACCAUGGAGCCUUGAACUGGAAUACACCCACAGCACCACAGAGAUGAACAUGCAGUACACCUGAUACCUCCCUGGAGGGGAAGCCUGAAUUAAGAUGAAGCGACUGAAAGGGAAAACCCAGAAGUGUGGAGCAUUUCAGAAAGUCCUGUGAACUCUGACCUCCAGCCCCCAUCUGCCAUCAUUCCUUUCCCCCAAAUACACAACACUCCCAUCCAUCAACACUCCUGCUCUGGUCCAAGAUGACCUCACCGAGAAAGCACCUGGUCAAGGAUUUCAACCACUUUAUCACAUGCUACGUGUGUAAAGGAUACCUGAUCAAGCCCACCACGGUGACAGAGUGCCUGCACACCUUUUGUAAAAGCUGCAUCGUCCAACACUUUGAAGACAGCAACGACUGCCCCAAAUGUGGCAUCCAAGUCCAUGAAACCAACCCUCUAGAGAUGUUAAGGUUGGACAACACUUUAGAGGAAAUCAUUUUCAAACUCGUGCCUGGGCUGAGAGAAAAGGAACAACAGCAGGAGAUUGAGUUCUGGAGGAGUCGAAAGUCGAAGGAGAACGGAGAAGAAGAUGGCCCCCGAUCAAAGAGGUCUCGGCUGGAUGCCGAUAAUGAUGAUGGUGGAGAUGGAGACUACCACAGGAGUGACCCUCAGAUAGCCAUCUGUCUGGAUUGUCUACGCAGCAACAGCCUGGUGGAAGAGAACAUUGUCCGGGGCUUAAUGAAGAAAUUUAUACGCUGCUCGACUCGAGUGACAGUCGGAACAAUCAAGAAGUUUCUCAGCUUGAAGUUAAAGCUUCCAAGUUCUUAUGAGCUAGACGUCCUAUGCAACGGGGAGAUCAUGGGAAAAGACCACACCAUGGAGUUCAUCUACAUGACGCGGUGGAGACUUCGCGGUGAAACCAAUAUGUGACAGCUCUGUGAUGCCAAGAAUGAAUUCCUGUCCUCCCCUGGACCAAUUGACCAGGAACUGGGACUACCCAAUGGUACUAGAAUAUCGCCCACGGAUAGACUUUGGUUGACGGAGGGAGACGUGGGACUACUCCUGCACUAACAGCCCAUUGACAGACUACACAAUGAAUGGAUGUGCCUGGCACAAGAGACAAGGACCACACAUCUUCUUAUCAUCUGCAUGCAGGAAUCCGUGAUUGCCUCUAAUCUCAUUCUGUUCUCUUACGUUAUCCUUCAGUUGGUCUGCGUUUCAUUUGGGUUUGAGAACAUGCCUGCGUAUCAUGACGUAUUGAUUCUUAAAAAAGUUCCCGAAAUGUAAUUGACUGAAGAGUGAAGACAUGCCCUUUAAUUCUACAGCACAUUGAAGUGUCCCUAAUAAUACAAGGUGAAAUUACUAGUAGUCUGUUGUUAUGCAACACAACAGAGAUAUUUCAAGACAGGUGUGCGUGCACUGGCAAACGGCUCAUAAUAUUCCACCUUAUCUACGCUGGAUUUAGUGUCUUACAUGGCUCCCUCCCGUACUCCUGUUUUUAACUACGGUAGUGCCUUUCCCCACAUGCCUCUUUCAGUGCAGUACCCUUCGAAAAUUCAAACUGCUUUUCAUAUGAAAUCCCUAAUAGUGAAUUCAACAGCCCCAACAUAUAGCCUACAUACAACUACAAGGAAGCUAUGGAUACCAUACCUACCAUAUCCCUAUCUCAAUAAGCUAUAUUCUUCCAUUCCAUGCCAUUUUGAUGUUAUUACCGCAUAUAAAGCAAUACGAGUACUGUAAGACUAGAUUUGGUAGAAGAAGGUUAGAAGAAGCUGAAUAUCACCUACACUGUCUGAAAUGUGUAGCUGUGUGUUUGUGCACUAUGUAAACGUAUUGGGCAUUAUUGUUGACUUGUACAUAGCAGAGAUUUGUAUAGACUGUUUACUACUAUGCUGUAUGUCCUACUGGAUGGCUUAACAUUAAUUUAUUGUUGUUGCCGUAUAGAAACUGCCCAGAGUGUCGUUACAGGGUCCGAUAACCCUUGCCAUUUGUAUCUAAUGGUGGAUCAGUACACAAGUGCUUUAAAUGCUUUUUCCCUCUUCACAUACAGUGCCUUCAGAAAGUAUUCACACCCCUUGACUUUUUCCAAAUGUUUUUGUGUUACAGCCUGAAUUUAAAAUAGAUUAAAUUGAGAUUUUGUGUCACUGGCCUACACACAAUACCACAUAAUGUCAAAGUGGAAUUAUGUUUUCCCGAGGAAAAAAAAUUCUGAUUAAUAAAAAAUGAAAAGCUGAAAUGUCUUGAGUCCAUAAGUAUUCAACCCCUUUGUUAUGGCAAGCCUAAAUAAAUGAAGGAUUAAAAAUGUGCAUAACAAGACAGAUAAUACGUUGCAUGGACUUUGCAUAGUGUUUAACAUGAUUUUUGAAUGACUACCUCACCUCUGUACCUCACACAUACAAUUAUCUGUAAGGUCCCUCAGUCAAGCAGUGAAUUUCAAACACAGAUUUAACCACAAAGACCAGGGAGGUUUUCCAAUGCCUCGCAAAGAAGGGCACCUAUUUGCAGAUGCGGGGGAAAAAAACAGACAUGGAAUUUCCCUUUGAGAAUGCUGAAGUUAUUAAUUAUACUUUGGAUGGUGUAUCGAUACACCCAUUCACUACAAAGAUCCAGGCAUCCGUUCUAACUCAGUUGCCGAAGAGGAAGGAAACCGCUCAGGGAUUUUACCAUAAGGCCAAUGGUGACUUUAAAACAAUCACAGAGUUCAAUGGCUGAAAACUGAGUUCAAUGGCUGAAAACAUUGUAGUUACUCCACAAUACUGACCUAAAUGACAGAGUGAAAAGAAUACAAAUAUUCCACAACGUGCAUCCUGUUUGCAAUAAGGCACUAAAGUAAAACUGCAAAAAAUGGGGCACAGAAAUGAACUUUACGUCCUAAAUACAGGGCAUUAUGUUUGGGGCAAAUCCAACACAACAAUUCACUGAGUACCACUCUUCAUAUUUUCAAGCAUGAUGGUAGAUGCAUCAUGUUAUAGGUAUGCUUGUCAUUGGCAAGGAAUAGGGAGUAAAAUAAAUGGAAUAGAGCUAAGCACAGGCAAAAUCCUAGAGGAGAACCUCGUACAGUUUGCUUUCCAACAGACACUGGGAGACAAAUGCACCUUUCAGCAGGACAAUAACCUAAAACGCAAGGCCAAAUACACUGGAGUUGCUUACCAAGAUGACAUUGAAUGUUCCUGAGUGGCCUAGUUACAGUUUUGACUUAAAUCGGCUUGAAAAUGGCAAGACAUGAAAAUGGCUGUCUAGGAAUGAUCAACAACCAACUUGGCAGAGCUUGAAGAAUUUAGAAAAGAAUAAUGUGCAAAUUGUAGGUGUGCAAAGCUCUUAGAGAUUUACCCAGAAAGACUCACAGCUGUAAUCACUGCCAAAGGUGAUUGUAACAUGUAGUGACUCAGGGGUUUAAAUACUUAUGUAAACGAGAUAUUUCUGUAUUUAAUUUUCUGUACAUUUGCUAAAAUGUCAAAAAAUAUGUUUUCACUUUGUCAUUAUGGGGUAUUGUAUUUAGAUGGGCGAGAAAAAAUAUCAAUUUUGAAUUCAGGCUGUAACCCAACAUUUGGAAUAAGUCAAGGGGUAUGAAUACUUUCUGAAGGCACUGUAUACCAUUUAUCUUUUUCUCACUCUCAUCGAAACACCAAAGAAUAAGAGCAGAGACAAACAGCAGUGGUUGUAUUUUAUCUGUUACAUUUUAACAGAGACAUAAUAAUUAUAACAUAUUGUAGGCAAACGUUGAGAGUACUGAAGUCUUCUUGGUAGGAAACAAAACGUGUGCAAUUUGCCACUGUAAUAGGACUUUCCAUACAGUAGAUGUCUGUCAAUAGUAAGUUGAUGUUCAUUUGCAGUUAUGGGCGAACCAAUCAAUGGACAGAUUGGACACCACUUUCUGGAAGGGUCUAAAAGUUCAAGUCUUUACAAAUCUCCACAAGUAAAACUUUGAAGCCUACUUAGCGUUCUUGUGUACUUUCCUGUUUCACACAUGUGCUUUUUCCUGUUUGAAAUGGUAUCUCUUAUUUUCCCUAAAAACCCAGAUCUAGUGGUUUUAAAUGUUAGCAAAGUAAAUGUUUAGACCGAAUAAUCCUUGACACGUCUCUGUGCUGCAAUGAACAAUAUGUAUUUUUGUAACAAGAAGCACUUGUAGAUAUUUUAUCUUUAAAAAUGACAUUGUUUGUUGUACAUUUAACAAACUUAAAAUGCUGCCUGGAAUAAUCUAUUCUAUUUUUCAAUGUCAAUGCACCUACAAGCAUUCCUAGAAAGAUUAGAACUGUACAUACGCAAGAGCUGCUCUAUAUGUGACAUAAUAACAAAAAUACAAAACUCCAGAACUCACUGAAUUAACCUGGUGUCAUUUAACUUGGUGUCAAAAGUGUGAUUUAAAAAAGAACGUUUUUAAGUUUCAAACAUUUGGUUUCAAGACUGCUUUUCUUAAUAAAAUGACUGGUCUGCG
Salvelinus fontinalis (brook trout) is the source of this 4646-nucleotide RNA transcript. It is a transcript of the gene named polycomb group RING finger protein 5-B, with no coding region annotated. The record is from RefSeq and is a predicted model, not a curated record. The transcript has 10 exons. NCBI's taxonomy places the organism in Eukaryota, Metazoa, Chordata, Actinopteri, Salmoniformes, Salmonidae.